GGACCCGCACAAGCGGAGGAGCAUGUGGUUUAAUUCGAUGGUAAGCGAGAAACCUUACCUGGGCUUGAAAGACAGCUGCAAGCCACCCGAAAGGGAGGCCGCCUUCGAGGGUGCUGUCUAGGUGCUGCAUGGUUGCCGUCAGCUCGUGUCGUGAGAUGUACCGUUAAGUCGGAUAACGAGCGCAACCCCUAUUUCGUGUUGUAUAUCACGAGAGACCGCCCCGGAUAACGGGGAGGAAGGUGGGGAUGACGUCAAAUCAGCAUGGCUCUUACGUCCAGGGCUACACACGUGCUACAAUGGUAAUGACAGAGGGUCGCCAAGCCGCAAGGCGGAGCUAAUCCCACCAAACAUUACCUCAGUUCGGAUUGAGGGCUGCAAUUUGCCCUCAUGAAGUUGGAUUCGCUAGUAAAUGCGUAUCAGCAACGACGCAUUGAAUACGUUCUCGGGUCUU
This 451-nucleotide ribosomal RNA is filed under the name uncultured bacterium. RNAcentral describes it as "bacterial SSU rRNA". It matches the Rfam family "Bacterial small subunit ribosomal RNA", at positions 917 to 1382 of the family's 1533-position model. The record is from RNAcentral.